AAUUAAAAAAAAAAAAAAAAAAAAGAGAGAGAAAUGCUAGGAACCACAUGAGUUGCAGGAUAAGCCAAAAGCAAAUAAUAUCUGUGUACUGUUUUCCUUCAUUUUUCACACACACCUUGGGCAGCAGCUCCUGCUGAAGCAAUUGUAGCAGCUUCUGCACCUCUAGUUGUCGUCUUCUUCUUCUUCUCAUUUACCUCCGAUGUCUACUCCUACCAAAAAUCGUCGCCCACGGGCCACGGGUAGAGAUCCUGAAAUCAAUCCACUGCAUAAUGAAGUCUCACUCUCUACAUUUCCAUGGACUUUCAAUUCUCUUCCUCUUACCUAUCAUUUUCACUCUCAUCAUAUAUCCUUCUUUCCACCUCGCUCUCUUUCAUCCCGACUAUAAUUUCCACCAACUUGACUCCCAUUACCUUCCCCGUUCCAGUUUCGAAAUUGUCAUACCCAUACUAUACACUCUCUGUCUGUCCCUCUUUUACCUCUGUGCCGUAGCCACAAUUACACACAGCGCUGCUCAAGCAUUGUGCGAUAAACCGAUCAGCCUUCUUUGCUCUGUUAAAUCUAUUAGAAAUUCCUUCUUUCCUCUUCUCUCCACUUUUAUCCUUACUAAUACCAUUCUCAUUUCAAUUGCUCUGAUUUUCGUCCUAGUCGUUGUUUUUCUAGUCCAAACUCUUCGAUCUAUCGGAUUAAUUGAACUCAAAUACGACCUGAAUCACUUUUUAUAUCUGUGUUUUUUCUCGUUGAUAGUGCUUGUACCGAUUCUGGUUUGGCUACAGGUGAAUUGGUUAUUAGCUUAUGUGAUAGCAGUGCUUGAAUCUAAGUCAGGUUUCGAAGCACUGAGGAGAAGUGCGGAUUUGUUAAAGGGGAAGAGAUGGAUAGCUUCGUACGCGAUGCUGUAUGGCAUGCCUUUGAUGGGACUGUUGGUGGUUACUCAUUCCAUUGUUUCAGUCAUGGCGGGUGUUGCCCAUGGUAGCUUGGUGGCUAUAGUGGUGGCUGUGGCAGGAUCUUUUAUGAUGAAUCACUAUAUUUUAGAGAAUGUGGCUUUGUACAUGUAUUGUAAAGACGAAUUCUUCAAUGGUGAAAAAUCGCCAUUGGAGAUCGGAGACAAGUUCACCGGAGCUAGUGAGUUAUGUAUCUAUGCCAAUGGCUGAUGAGAAAAAUCAUGCUAUUGUGUAAACUGGUCAUUAGCUUAUGUGAUAGCAGUGGUUGAAUCAAAAUCAGGUUUCGAAACACUGAGGAGAUCAAGUGCUUAUUUGGUAAAAGAGAAGAGAUCAGUAGCUUUUCGGAUACAUUUGAAUUUCGGGCUUAUGGUGAUUGGUUCUAACGUCUUUUUAGCCAGUACUAUGCUGUAUGGUCUAGUCAAGUCUGGUUGGUGGAGCAUUCUGAUGGUAAUGGCUACUAUGAUGUGGUGGAUACUGGCAUCUUCUGGGAUUAGAGAGUUACUUAUGAAGAAUGUGCUUCUGUAUAUGUACUGCAACGACUUUAAUGGCGGAAAAUUGACCUUGGAGGAAAUCGGAGGCAAGUUUGCAGACGAGUUUGUAUAUUUGCCCUUAGACGAUGAGAAGAAUCAUGCCAUUGUGUAAUUUGUUUAAUUUCUCUAGGGGCUC
RNA transcript from Solanum stenotomum, 1604 nucleotides. RefSeq lists it as uncharacterized. The transcript has 3 exons. The record is from RefSeq and is a predicted model, not a curated record. Lineage: Eukaryota; Viridiplantae; Streptophyta; Magnoliopsida; Solanales; Solanaceae.